This is a long non-coding RNA of Rana temporaria (common frog), 1093 nucleotides long. RefSeq lists it as uncharacterized. The transcript is spliced from 2 exons. Lineage: Eukaryota; Metazoa; Chordata; Amphibia; Anura; Ranidae. The record is from RefSeq and is a predicted model, not a curated record.
AGCUGGGGAUCUGCAGGGAUUGGAAUGAGAAGAGAGGGAUUAAUAGAAAGAUUAUCACAAAGGGGGAGAGAAUGAGAUUGUGACAAAGGGCAGAAGACAAAGGAAGAAAGAAAGGGGGCAAACAGAAGGCAGCAAUAAAACUAUGAUGCAUAUAGUGACAAAGAAUUGAUCACAUUAAGAGAAGAGGUGUAGAGGUCAUUGAUGAAGGAAUGAGGUAAGAAGAGUGACAUUAACGGAAACUGACAAGGCAAACGGCGAAGUAUUGUACACAUCAUAAAAAAAAAAUAAGAACACCAAGGAAGCCGUUGAGGCAUACGUUGAUCACGCUGGACCCGUUAACGCAACUCAACAUCUACCUGAAGCAAAGCAGUCGCUUCUACGAUAUGUCUCGGGAGCAGUUGGAAGGGGUAGUCCGUACAGUCGAAACCCUAUUAGCAGAGGCAGAAGCGCUACGAGCCCGAUGCCAGCGACAGAGUGAUGAGGUGAAGCAACUCUGUGAAGACUUGAGAAAUGAAAACCGAGACCUGGUAGACCGAUUUUCUCAAGCGGAGCGAGAUCUCACUGAUGUCAAACGUUCUAUCAAUGAGCUGAUGGACACCAAAAUAGCAUUUGAAGCCCGGGAGAGGCAAGUGCGAAAAUUGAGCAAGCAACUGUAAUAAAGGACACUGGACUUUUCAGUCUUAUAGCCACAGAAGAACAUAGUUUUAUUACAGCCUUGGCUACCUCCACUUCCUCUUAUCGCCUCCUCUAACUUUUCCCAAUCAUGUAGAUAAUUUCAGGUUGUUUAAAUGCUUUUUGGAUUGUUAAAUUAAUUAAUCUUAAUCUAAAGUGAUCCAGUAACUUACAGUAGACUGAAAUGUGGAAAACACACAAUGGGGCAUUUAUGAAACAUUGAGCAGCUAAUUCUUCUUCUUAGCUGCCACAUUUUUUUGUUAUUAUUGGCCAAUCUUUUGUUCUUUCUGUAAAACAGGCUUGUUGGUUUUGUUCAGCACAAGAAUUUGUCAUUUAUCUUUCUUUUCACGACCACAGUUUUUCCAUUGUCAUUUAGCCAUCUUUGUUAUACUUUAUUUGCACAAUUAAAGCUGUGAAAUUG